RNAcentral lists this ribosomal RNA (484 nucleotides) under uncultured bacterium. RNAcentral describes it as "partial 16S ribosomal RNA". It matches the Rfam family "Bacterial small subunit ribosomal RNA", at positions 30 to 507 of the family's 1533-position model. The record is from RNAcentral.
AUUGAACGCUGGCGGCAGGCCUAACACAUGCAAGUCGAGCGGAUGAAGGGAGCUUGCUCCUGGAUUCAGCGGCGGACGGGUGAGUAAUGCCUAGGAAUCUGCCUGGUAGUGGGGGAUAACUUCCGGAAACGGGCGCUAAUACCGCAUACUUCCUGAGGGAGAAAGUGGGGGAUCUUCGGACCUCACGCUAUCAGAUAAGCCUAGGUCGGAUUAGCUAGUUGGUGGGGUAAAGGCCUACCAAGGCGACGAUCCGUAACUGGUCUGAGAGGAUGAUCAGUCACACUGGAACUGAGACACGGUCCAGACUCCUACGGGAGGCAGCAGUGGGGAAUAUUGGACAAUGGGCGAAAGCCUGAUCCAGCCAUGCCGCGUGUGUGAAGAAGGUCUUCGGAUUGUAAAGCACUUUAAGUUGGGAGGAAGGGCAGUAAGUUAAUACCUUGCUGUUUUGACGUUACCAACAGAAUAAGCACCGGCUAACUUCGUG